AUCCAGCUGACGAAUCACAAAUAGGAUAAAACCCACGUCCUGGAU
RNAcentral lists this non-coding RNA (45 nucleotides) under Schistosoma bovis. RNAcentral also lists the same sequence under 1 other name. Lineage: Eukaryota; Metazoa; Platyhelminthes; Trematoda; Strigeidida; Schistosomatidae. The record is from RNAcentral.